Long non-coding RNA from Gadus chalcogrammus (walleye pollock), 1073 nucleotides. RefSeq lists it as uncharacterized. The transcript has 3 exons. The record is from RefSeq and is a predicted model, not a curated record. Lineage: Eukaryota; Metazoa; Chordata; Actinopteri; Gadiformes; Gadidae.
ACAGCAGCAUCCAGACUGUUGUCCCUUCCUGUUAUUAACACCAGUUCGCGAUAACCUUUUGGAGAUGCACAGUGGUUGACGGUGCAUGCGUGCUGAUUUCAUUUCGAGUCGGUUCUGGAGUUGUGGGAACUAGUCCCACUUGUACACAAGUUCUUACUUAAUAAAAGACUUGGAGGGAGCACACGCAUGGAUGGAUAUGGGAUACCUGCCAACCAUAGAUAGCGGCUGUACCACUCAACAUGGAGCUGAGAUGCUGGAAGAUCGCCCAAGAUCAGGCUCCAGGGUCUGAGACCUGAACACCCUGAACACAGCUCCCUCCUCCAGGCCCCCCACACUAUGGCCGACGAUCUGAGGACCGGCCUGUCCGUGUGGGCCAUCGUCGCCAUCGUGUGUAACUCUGCGGUGGGCAUCCUCAUCCUCAUUCUGUUCGCCAUCCUCUACAAGGCCUGCCAGGUGCCCUCCAAACCCCCCAAUGGGACACCGGCCCUCUUCACGGUUCUCGAAGCAGAGACCAGGGAGGAGAAGUACAGGCUGGUGGCACCCUGAGACUCCUUAAUGUUGUUCACCUUGACGGAGGGUGUCUGGGCGGGCGUCUGGGGAGCUCUGGAAGAGUUCGACACUGACCUCGAGUCAUGCAUUGUGGCCAAAUAUGAAACGAUUCUUCUCCCUUCCUUUCUCCCCUUCAUGAGCAGAAGGAGGUAAACACACCUGUCUUUUGUCGUGUUCCUUUAUCCAAGAGUCCUUUUCUCCCUCGUCAGUGUCUCUCACCUUUACCCCAAGCCGGUUAGCGGAGCUCAGACCAAUCAAAGCGGAGCGACAGGUUUGCCUUUGAAGGAUUAUGUAAAGGAACAGAAAAAUAAGACAGGCCCCACAAUCCUCUUAUCUUCACCAACACUGCGGCGCUGGGACCGUCCAUCUGCCUCUCCCUCCACACAGCACCUGGACAGCUUUCUCCCUCUCCUUCAUCUUCUCCUCUUUCCCCUCCUUCAAUUGGUAUCUUGGUCUCGCUCUGUCUCUCUCUUUCUCUCUCUCUCUCUCUCUCUCUCUCUCUCUCUCUCUCUCUCUCUCUCUCU